UAGCCUGCAAGCCAUUUUGAUAAUCUGAAGGAUUAUUUUAAUAGUAGUUUCAUAAUAGAAGACUAAUAUAAAUACCAGUUACAUUUAAUAAAAUCUCAGCAUAUGUAGAAGCUGCAUUUCAGAGUAAAACAAUAUAUAUAACUCUUGGCAAGAUCCCACCUUGAAAAGCUAGCACAAUCAGCCAAUGAGAAUCCAAAAGAGCCUCUUUUGGGAUUGGAAAGAACCGCCCAGGAUUGGUUAUUUUAUCCCUACUGAAGGGCCUGAUUCUUCACUGCGGAUGCAUCUUCCACUCCACAUUACAUAUUGAUUUACAUCUGUGCAAAAUGGGUGUAAAAUGCAGCCAUAUCAGAAUGGAUCCACCUCGCUCACAUGGAGAUGACUACAGAAAUCAGUUCAGCUUAUCUCAGGCUCACAUCAGCUUUAGGACUGCUCUAAGGUACAUGCAGCUGUAAUGAUCAUCAAAGGACUAUUUCACCACUGUCUGUCCCCUCCACUGCCCUGGGCAUUCCCAUUCCCCCUGCAGCCAAGGCGACAAUGCAUCCUUCAGGGCUGAGAGCUUGGCAGGUAUAAAGCUGGCUAUGCUGGUUCUAUAUCACUGGAGCACUCUUCCAUGGUGGGAGAAUCCUCAACUGGCCACUUAAACCAAUUGAAGUCUGUUUUGCACAGAAGCCGUCUUAAUGGGGGUCAGGCCUGGUUAACUGUCUGUAGCAGAUCUAGUUCCUCAUUAUUUAUUCGCAGUAGAAGCUUAUUAAUUCACACCACUGACUGAGAACACCAUUGUGAAAUGGUGAUUUUUGUGACUUGGCAAGUAAAUCAAACAACAAUUUAAAAAAAUCAAGGGUACUGCACCACAAAAUGUACUUUGUUCCUUUGUUUGACAUUUGUAGUUUCUUUACAUUACUUCCUUAUACUCCGAUAAGUGUUUUGUAGUUGUAAAAGUUGUAAAAAGUAGUAAAGGCUCAUUAAUACAAGACAUCAGUACAGCAACUGCUGUUAAUUAAGAAAAGACCAACAUUUCAUGUGUGAAAAUGAUAGGUUGUACAGAUUAGUGAAGGGUCUGAAUUAGUCACCUCCUACUGUAUUUUCAGAACCUUUCCAGCACCUAACAAUGUGCCUAACAUUUUAUUUUAAAUGGACUGUUAAAAUGUGAGCCAUCCUAGAAAUGACAGAGUAGUCCAGUGUUGCACUGUGUGCCACUGUUUUAUCUGAUAUGUAUUGCUCAUCAAGAUCUACUUGUUUAAACAUUGAUCAUUUUAUAUAUGUGGUAGGGUGCCAGAGACAUAGGUAUCUAAUAAGUUGGGUAGAUGCUACAACACCAAAGUUGAAGAGAGAGACAGUUCUGCCAUCUGUACUGUGAGGAAGAUGGGGCUUUUCUGAUAAAAUAUACUUCCAAUUGCAGUCACUUGAUAUUAUGGCAAGGAGAUCCCCCCCCCAAAAAUCUGCAAAGCAACCACACUGUCCUCCUUCAAAUAUCUCCUUAAAGCUCAUCUCUGCCACAAUGUCUACAAAAAGCCCAACAAUUGUUAGGCACCUAGUGUGCGGUGACUGCUGCUUAUUGUGUUGAUCAGAAUUGUUGCUUUGUGUUCCCCCUUCUCUUUCUUGUAUCCAUCUAGUGUCUCUCACAUUAUAUGUAGACUGUAAGCUCUGUGGGGCAGGCACUAUCUUUUCAUUAUGUUUGUACAAUACCUACCAACACAAUAGGGCCCUGGUCUCCAGCCACUACUGCAAUAGAAAUACAGAUAAAACUGACAAUUAGGGAUGUAUGUUUGAUUUAACUUCUCCUAUCACACUCUGUAAGUGCAUGUUCUUCACUUACACAGUACUUCAGCCACAAAAAUCAGAAUCAAAUAUCCUUAUUGCAGUUUAACCCAUGAAAAUAUUCAACAUCUAAGAUCUUUUCCCCCCACUUUCUGGUGGUUCAGCAGACAUAUCAAUAUUCUUUUUCCUGUACAAGUGUCUCUUAUGAUGGGGCUAAAGGUGAAAAAUAAGGCAGUGCUGAAUUCCAUUUCAAACAUCCUGAUGUUCUCCCUGCUGCUCUGGUCAACCUGGCUUUGGGCAAUUUAACAAAUGCUUUCAAUUUCUGUAUCUCUGCCCAAGAACAGUGAAUUCUACAACUGCUGUUCUGUGAGGACAUCAGAGGGCUGUAUCAGACCCUCUGGAGAUGAUGGGAAAGUGUAAACAGGUCCAUUUGCAGCUCAUUUGCUAUCAGUAUAAAAAAAAAGUGAAAUGACAAAUCUUUGAUUGAUUGUUGGCUCUCCACAAAUUCCUACUCUGUGGUAACAGCAUUACAAAUGAGUUAUUUCAGGCAGGAGCCUGUGGCUGUUUGAUAAAAUGCAGCAGUUCUGAUAAUACAUUUAACACAGACUUGUUAGAUAAUUUUCAAAGACAGACAACACUAGGUCAAAUUCACCCCAAGUAUAGCUUCACUGAUCAUUUUUAAAGGAGUCAGAGAAAUUAUUGUAGGAAAUGUAUACAUUUAGACUUGACUUUCGUUUUACAGAAUCUAAAGGCAAAUAAAAUUAAUGGAAUCUGAAAUUAUUAACAAGAAUACUUGCAAUAUCUAAGUCUGUGCACAAUAGCUAUGUUUUCCUUAGAAGCAUGGUAAAUGGAAGCUGACCUGUCUCUCUGUAGAGUUGACUCAGGACAAAAUUUUGCCAGCGGAUAUAGCUUUUCACAACAGAAAUAAUUAAGUGCUUUCUUCAGAAUAAAAUUAUGAAUUGGCCCCCGACUUAGAAUUUGCCAGUUUAGCAGCAAAAUCAGCUUUGAGCAUUGAAAUGAGAGUUUUCUGCCUUUGGUAAGAGCCUUUCAACUCCAUUGACUUCUAUGGGCUUUCACCAGGGAUAAAUUUGGCACUGUAUUUAUAAGGACAUGAGAUUUCAUACAGCUGUAUAUUGUUCAAAUAAGGUUAUACAGGCUUUAUGGAAAGAAGCUAUUUCACUUUCUAAUUCACCUGAUGAAUCAGAUACAAGAUGAAAGUAAUAACAGAUAAUCCAGUUUGCUAUUACUGACAUAAUACAAAGUCUAUGCUGACACAUUACAUGGGUACGCUGCACUGAAAAUGAAAGAUUACAGUAACAAUAUGCACAACUGUUCUCUUCUGUAUUAUAUUAACAUGUCUUUCAUGCCAUUGCAAUGUAAUCAGUCCUCAGUAUUUUUAAUUAUAGUCUAUUUAGUCAUGUAAAAAUUGGGUUCGGUUUCUCAGGAAAAAAGGAAGGCUCUUUGUAGUUCAUCAAAAGUGCACAUUGCUGCGUGAUGAACACUGUUGACAAAUUAAACUACAAGAAGCAAAACUUAAAAGAUAUGGGGUCAGCUCCUCAUCUGAUAUAAUCCCUAUAAUUCCGUUAAUGUCAACACUUCUCUGAUUUACAUCAGCUGAAAUUCUGGGCUAGGAUGAAGUUUGGGUUCAUUGCAGGACACACUUUAUCCAGAUAUCCAAACCACAUAAGCCUCUAAAACUGAUCUAGGAAUUUUGUAAGAAUAAACAUUUUUUCAGAAUUUCUAGUUGUUCCUACUUCUGGUAGGCCUUCAUGGUAAUUCAUCACCCUGGGCUCACGACUACCUGCUGUGAAAACAAUUCCCACUGAUGUUAAUGGGAGCUAUUGGCAUUCAGCCCCUUCCGGAGUUGCUUAUCACCUUGGAAUACUGAGCCCACGGUGCACAAAUAAACUAAUAAACUAACCAGUUGUGAUGGACCCAGGAUACACAAGUCAGAUCCACAUUCAAAUCAGAAUGUUCUCAUACCUCAAGGAUGUUUGGAUCUUGAGUUUUGGGUAGGCUGCAUUCACAUUUGUAGGUCCAACUCCUUAUUCACUUUUUACUCAGUCCUUACUCAGCUAGAACUCUUGCUGAAGUCAAUUCUACCUCAUUCUACUCAUGGUAUGUGCAGGAUCUGAACUUGGGACUAGUCUUUACAAGUGCAAUAUAGAGAUUGUGCUUCUCAGCAGUUGGAGAGUGUAGUCCUCCUCCUCCGGUCACACCUUCCUUCCUUUGCAGCAGACCCUGCCCAUACCAAAACCAUUAAGUGAAAUUGUAAAGGCUGUGGGGAGGGGGGAUUGCCUCAUCUUACAAUUAUUCAAUGGGCA
Molecule: long non-coding RNA, 4082 nt
Organism: Mauremys reevesii (Reeves's turtle)
Lineage: Eukaryota; Metazoa; Chordata; Testudines; Geoemydidae
Exons: 3
Source: RefSeq, a predicted model, not a curated record